CCACAACUACAACCGCGCGGGAAUGAGUCUUAAGUUCAUCUAGGUGACGCUCACGACGGCGAGUCUAAGUCUAAUA
Regulatory RNA element from Carnobacterium maltaromaticum LMA28, 76 nucleotides. The record is from Rfam. NCBI's taxonomy places the organism in Bacteria, Bacillati, Bacillota, Bacilli, Lactobacillales, Carnobacteriaceae.